RNAcentral lists this ribosomal RNA (207 nucleotides) under uncultured bacterium. RNAcentral describes it as "partial 16S ribosomal RNA". It matches the Rfam family "Bacterial small subunit ribosomal RNA", at positions 568 to 774 of the family's 1533-position model. The record is from RNAcentral.
CUCGUAGGCGGUUUGUCGCGUCUGCUGUGAAAAUCCGAGGCUCAACCUCGGACCUGCAGUGGGUACGGGCAAACUAGAGUGCGGUAGGGGAGAUUGGAAUUCCUGGUGUAGCGGUGGAAUGCGCAGAUAUCAGGAGGAACACCAAUGGCGAAGGCAGAUCUCUGGGCCGUAACUGACGCUGAGGAGCGGAAGCGUGGGGAGCGAACA